Molecule: long non-coding RNA, 505 nt
Organism: Daphnia magna
Lineage: Eukaryota; Metazoa; Arthropoda; Branchiopoda; Diplostraca; Daphniidae
Exons: 2
Source: RefSeq, a predicted model, not a curated record
ACUGACGAAUAGCAGACGAUGUUGUCAAACAUCCCUUUAGCACACGUACCGCUCGGAGUGAUUGUCACAAAUGGUUAGCCAGCAUCCGCCGGAUGUACGUACAACCAUGGUACAACGAUCCAUUUACGACAGGUACUAAAUUGGAUCUUACGCCGUCCUCGUUUUGAGCAGAUAAAGGGUUCAGCGACCGUUGAACAAUUACGGUAUAACAACCGCCUUGUAAAACAGUGAUAGUUCCAGCGGGAUCGUCCGUAUUUAUCUUACCGUCCUUCCUCGGGAUGAACACCUCAUACCUAAGGCAGAUUUAAAUUAUUAUGCAACAAGUGUACGUGUGAAUGGAAAACACAUUUCGGACUUACGUGCCGACAACUACCUCUAAAACAUCUGUGCUUACAAGACGUUCAAGCAUCGAAGAGUUGUUUGAGGCGAGGAAAGGAAAAUGGAUAAUCCUAUCUUUUGAUUUCAGUGUGAUGUUCCCUUGAUCGACCAAAUCAUCGUGCAGAUU